UACGUAGGCAGCGAGCGUUGUUCGGAGUUACUGGGCGUAAAGGGUGUGUAGGCGGUUGUUUAAGUUUGGUGUGAAAUCUCCCGGCUCAACUGGGAGGGUGCGCCGAAUACUGAAUGACUAGAGUGCGGGAGAGGAAAGUGGAAUUCCUGGUGUAGCGGUGAAAUGCGUAGAUAUCAAGAGGAACACCUGUGGUGUAGACAGCUUACUGGACCACUUCUGACGCUGAGACACGAAAGCGUGGGUAGCAAACAGG
This 253-nucleotide ribosomal RNA is filed under the name uncultured bacterium. RNAcentral describes it as "partial 16S ribosomal RNA". It matches the Rfam family "Bacterial small subunit ribosomal RNA", at positions 524 to 776 of the family's 1533-position model. The record is from RNAcentral.